UCCGGAGGGGGCAAGCGUUGUCCGGAUUCACUGGGUGUAAAGGGCGCGCAGGCGGGUUAGCAAGUCAGAGGUGAAAUCCUACAGCUUAACUGUAGAACUGCCUUUGAAACUGUUAAUCUUGAGUGCGGAAGAGAGAGACGGAAUUCCAGGUGUAGCGGUGAAAUGCGUAGAUAUCUGGAAGAACACCAGUUGCGAAGGCGGUCUCUUGGUCCGUUACUGACGCUCAGGCGCGCAAGCUUGGGGAGCAAACAGG
Molecule: ribosomal RNA, 253 nt
Filed under: uncultured bacterium
Lineage: Bacteria
Description: partial 16S ribosomal RNA
Rfam family: Bacterial small subunit ribosomal RNA
Source: RNAcentral